Molecule: ribosomal RNA, 482 nt
Filed under: Emberiza melanocephala
Lineage: Eukaryota; Metazoa; Chordata; Aves; Passeriformes; Fringillidae
Description: partial 16S ribosomal RNA
Rfam family: Bacterial large subunit ribosomal RNA
Source: RNAcentral
UUCAACGGCCGCGGUAUCCUAACCGUGCAAAGGUAGCGCAAUCAAUUGUCCCAUAAAUCGAGACUAGUAUGAAUGGCUAAACGAGGUCUUAACUGUCUCUUACAGGCAAUCGGUGAAAUUGAUCUCCCUGUACAAAAGCAGGGAUAAACCCAUAAGACGAGAAGACCCUGUGGAACUUCAAAACCAGCAACCACCUUAAAACACACAUCCACCUACUAGGCUCACUGACAUACAAGUCCCUGGUCUGCGUUUUUCGGUUGGGGCGACCUUGGAGCAAAACAAAACCUCCAAAAAUUAGACCAAACCUCUAGACUGAGAGCAACCCCUCAACGUGCUAAUAGCACCCAGACCCAAUAUAAUUGAUCAAUGGACCAAGCUACCCCAGGGAUAACAGCGCAAUCUCCUCCGAGAGUCCGUAUCGACGAGGAGGUUUACGACCUCGAUGUUGGAUCAGGACAUCCUAGUGGUGCAGCCGCUACUAA